Molecule: ribosomal RNA, 492 nt
Filed under: uncultured bacterium
Lineage: Bacteria
Description: partial 16S ribosomal RNA
Rfam family: Bacterial small subunit ribosomal RNA
Source: RNAcentral
GAUGAACGCUAGCUACAGGCUUAACACAUGCAAGUCGAGGGGCAGCGGUAUCGAAAGCUUGCUUUCGGUAGCCGGCGACCGGCGCACGUGUGAGUAACGCGUAACGAACCUGCCUCAUACUCGGGAAUAGCCUUGCGAAAGUAAGAUUAAUGCCCGGUGUUUUCAGAGUCCCGCAUGAGGCUUUGAACAAAGAUUUAUCUGUAUGAGAUGGUGAUGCGUUCCAUUAGCUUGUUGGCUGGGUCACGGACCACCAAGGCAUCGAUGGGUAGGGGUUAUGAGAGGAAGGCACCCCACAUUGGAACUGAGACACGGUCCACACCACUACGGGAGGCAGCAGUGAGGAAUAUUGGUCGAGGGGCGGAAGCCUGAACCAGCCAAGUAGCGUGCAGGAAGACGGCCGUCCGGGUUGUAAACUGCUUUUAGUUGGGAAUAACACGGGGCUAGUGAGCUCCCUUGAAUGUACCAUCAGAAAAAGGACCGGCUAAUUCCGUG